GAACUAAUGUGGCGAGACUCUCAAUAUACUGUAUAUCUGCAUAUGUUAUAUUUACUUCUAUUAUGCUUCAUUGCUGCAAUCUCUUCCCCCCCUCUAGUUGUCAAGCCAAAGAGGAUGAUGCUACAAACAUACCAAAGGGACAGCAGCAGGGAACAUCCACUUCUUGGCAUGCAGCACCUCGUUGAAUGCAUUUGUGUCGGGCCGACAGAGAAGAGAUACUACCUCUGCACGCUCUGCAAGCUAACUUUGGCUACCAACGCAAUCAUCCAACAUGUCCUGAGCUUUGACCACAUCUUUUGUUACUUUAGAGCGUGGCACCCGUCAACUCUGCUGUCGAAGGAAUCCUACAGGUUUUACACCAAAUCCUUUGCCUCCAUGAUGCUUGAUUUUGCAAAGCAGGCAGAGGAAAUCCACAGUACUGCAAACAAUGACAUGAAGCAAGUUAGUCUGGAGCCUGCCAAAUUCACAUCAGUGAAUUUCACUUGUUAUAGAGAAGCUUUUAAGGAACUGGAAUCCAUCAGGAAGGAAAACCAGGAGAGCAGCUUGAUGACAAUCGUCAAACAAGGGAACAAGCUGGGUAUGUAUUAUGGGGAUGAUUUAUUCAUCACUUCUUUCACGACUACUAUUGAAAGUGUUUUUAAAACACUCAAUUAUUUUGUUUUUCUUUGUA
This 670-nucleotide long non-coding RNA is filed under the name Cottoperca gobio. RNAcentral describes it as "lncRNA (ENSCGOG00000023280.1)". Lineage: Eukaryota; Metazoa; Chordata; Actinopteri; Perciformes; Bovichtidae. The record is from RNAcentral.